This 423-nucleotide ribosomal RNA is filed under the name uncultured eukaryote. RNAcentral's name for it is "bacterial SSU rRNA". It matches the Rfam family "Eukaryotic small subunit ribosomal RNA", at positions 592 to 1018 of the family's 1831-position model. The record is from RNAcentral.
CAAUAGCUUUUAUUAAAGCUGCUGCGGUUAAAAAGCUCGUAGUUGGAUUUCUGCCGAGGACGACCGGUCCGCCCUCUGGGUGAGUAUCUGGCUCGGCCUCUGCAUCUUCUUGGAGAACGUAGCUGCACUUGACUGUGUGGUGCGGUACCCAGGAUUUGUACUUUGAAGAAAUUAGGGUGUUUCAACCAGGCUCACGCCUUGAAUACUUUAGCAUGGAAUGAUAAGAUAGGACCUCAGUUCUAUUUUGUUGGCUUCUAGAGCUGAGGUAAUGAUCAACAGGGAUAGUCGGGGGGCAUUUGUAUUUAAUUGUCAGAAGUGAGAUUCUUGGAUUCGUUAAAGACGGACUGCUGCGCAAGCAUUUGCCAAGGAUGUUUUCAGUAACCAAGAACGAAAGUUAUGGGAUCGAAGAUGAUUAGAUACCAU